CCCUUAGAUGCUCUGGGCCGCACGCGCGCUACACUGGUCGAUGCAACGAGUUUCUUUCCUUGGCCGACAGGCCUGGGCAAUCUUUGAACAUCGAUCGUGAUCGGGAUAGAUUCUUGUAAUUUUUGAUCUUAAACGAGGAAUUCCUAGUAAACGCAAGUCAUCAGCUUGCAUUGAUUACGUCCCUGCCCUUUGUACACACCGCCCGUCGCACCUACCGAUUGAAUGGUCCGGUGAAGCGUUCGGACCGUGGCCUUUGGACGGUUCGCCGUCUGUUGGCUGCGGGAAGUUCGUUAAACCUUAUCAUUUAGAGGAAGGAGAAGUCGUANCA
This 328-nucleotide ribosomal RNA is filed under the name uncultured eukaryote. RNAcentral's name for it is "partial 18S ribosomal RNA". It matches the Rfam family "Eukaryotic small subunit ribosomal RNA", at positions 1470 to 1796 of the family's 1831-position model. The record is from RNAcentral.